Molecule: ribosomal RNA, 317 nt
Filed under: uncultured Photobacterium sp.
Lineage: Bacteria; Pseudomonadati; Pseudomonadota; Gammaproteobacteria; Vibrionales; Vibrionaceae
Description: bacterial SSU rRNA
Rfam family: Bacterial small subunit ribosomal RNA
Source: RNAcentral
UAGCUUGCUAAUUUGCUGACGAGCGGCGGACGGGUGAGUAAUGCCUGGGAAUAUGCCUUGAUGUGGGGGAUAACUAUUGGAAACGAUAGCUAAUACCGCAUAAUGCCUACGGGCCAAAGAGGGGGAUCUUCGGACCUCUCGCGUCAAGAUUAGCCCAGGUGGGAUUAGCUAGUUGGUGGGGUAAUGGCUCACCAAGGCGACGAUCCCUAGCUGGUUUGAGAGGAUGAUCAGCCACACUGGAACUGAGACACGGUCCAGACUCCUACGGGAGGCAGCAGUGGGGAAUAUUGCACAAUGGGGGAAACCCUGAUGCAGCC